This 542-nucleotide ribosomal RNA is filed under the name uncultured bacterium. RNAcentral describes it as "bacterial SSU rRNA". It matches the Rfam family "Bacterial small subunit ribosomal RNA", at positions 773 to 1327 of the family's 1533-position model. The record is from RNAcentral.
AGGGAAUAGAUACCCAGGUAGUCCACGCCGUAAACGAUGCCAACUAGCAAUGGGGAGAGUCGACCCUCUCUGUUGCGAAAGCUAACGCGUCAAGUUGGCCGCCUGGGGAGUACGGUGGCAACACUAAAAACUCAAAGGAAUUGGCGGGGGCUCGCACAAGUGGUGGAGCAUGUGGUUUAAUUCGACAAUGACCGAGGAACCUUAUCCAGGGCUUGACAUCUUGGGAACCCGCUGGAAACAGUGGGGUGCCGCAAGGAGCCCAAAGACAGGUACUGCACGGUCGUCGUCAGUUCGUGUCGUGAGAUGUGAGGUUAAGUCCUUGAACGAACGCAACCCUUGUCCUAUGUUGGAUUUCAUAGGAGACUGCCCUGGUAACAGGGAGGAAGGUGGGGAUGACGUCAGAUCCGCGUGGUCUUUAUGCCCUGGGCUACACACGUGCUACAAUCCGGCAGACAAAGGGUCGCCAAGCCGCGAGGCGGAGCUAAUCCCAUCAAAAUGCCGGUCAGUUCGGAUUGGAGUCUGCAACUCGACUCCAUGAAGCC